GGGGUUGUAGGAUAACUUGGCUAGACUCCACGGUUCGGGGCCGUGUGAUCCGCGUUCAAAUCGCGGCAACCCCA
RNAcentral lists this transfer RNA (74 nucleotides) under Candidatus Woesearchaeota archaeon. Its description in RNAcentral is "tRNA-Pro". The record is from RNAcentral. Lineage: Archaea; Nanobdellati; Candidatus Woesearchaeota.